GCUGGGCAUGGUGGCGCAUGCCUGUAAUCCCAGCUACUCAGGAGGCUGAGGAAAGAGAAUCGCUUGAACUCGGGAGGUGGAGGUUGCAGUGAGCCGAGAUUGUGCCACUGCACUCCAGCCUGGGCAACAGAGUGAGAUUUUGUCUCCA
Molecule: non-coding RNA, 148 nt
Filed under: Chlorocebus sabaeus (green monkey)
Lineage: Eukaryota; Metazoa; Chordata; Mammalia; Primates; Cercopithecidae
Source: Rfam by way of RNAcentral